UUUAUCUCCCCCGAGGUUUUGCCAGCAUUAUGGCUGUAACAGCAUUAUGGGAGAUGAAUUCCACAACAUCUGGAGUACCGAAUGUCGCCUAACCCCGUCUAAAAACACACCACUAACAUUACUGUGAAGUUACAUCUAAUGUGAGAUUUAUUAAUUGAACAAUAAAUUGCGGGGAACAUAUUUGGCAACAUUUAGACUCAAAG
Molecule: non-coding RNA, 203 nt
Organism: Pelobates cultripes (western spadefoot toad)
Lineage: Eukaryota; Metazoa; Chordata; Amphibia; Anura; Pelobatidae
Source: the annotation of a GenBank genome assembly